UCGCUAGGAUCCCUUCGGGGUGACUUUGAUGCUGACGAGCGGCGGACGGGUGAGUAACGCGUAGGAAUCUACCCAGUAGCGGGGGAUAGCCCGAGGAAACUCGGAUUAAUACCGCAUACGCCCGUAAGGGGAAGGGGGGGGAAACUCUUCGGAGACCUCUCACUAUUGGAGGAGCCUGCGUCGGGAUUAGCUAGUUGGUAGGGUAAAGGCCUACCAAGGCAACGAUCCAUAGCUGGUCUGAGAGGACGAUCAGCCACACUGGAACUGAGACACGGUCCAGACUCC
This 285-nucleotide ribosomal RNA is filed under the name unidentified marine bacterioplankton. RNAcentral describes it as "partial 16S ribosomal RNA". It matches the Rfam family "Bacterial small subunit ribosomal RNA", at positions 66 to 339 of the family's 1533-position model. The record is from RNAcentral.